AGGGUUCGAUUCUGGCUCAGGAUUAACGCUGGCGGCAUGCCUAAUACAUGCAAGUCGAAUGGAAGAGCUUGCUUUCCAUGGCGAACGGGUGAGUAACACGUAGGUAACCUACCUUAAGGACGAGGAUAAACCUUUGGAAACGAAGGAUAAUACUGGAUAGGACAUCAUAAAACACAUGUUUAGAUGUUUAAAGGAGCAAUCCACCAUAAGAGGGGCCUGCGGCGCAUUAGCUAGUUGGUGAGAUAAAGGCCCACCAAGGCGAUGAUGCGUAGCCGGACUGAGAGGUUGAACGGCCACAAUGGGACUGAGAACGGCCCAUACUCCUACGGGAGGCAGCAGUAGGGAAUUUUCGGCAAUGGACAAAAGUCUGACCGAGCAAUGCCCGCGUGAUCGAAGAAGUAUUUCGGUAUGUAAAGAUCUUUUAUCAGGGAAGAAAAGACAGAUUGACUGAACCUGAUGAAUAAGCUCCGGCUAACUACGUGCCAGCCGCCGC
This 493-nucleotide ribosomal RNA is filed under the name uncultured bacterium. Its description in RNAcentral is "bacterial SSU rRNA". It matches the Rfam family "Bacterial small subunit ribosomal RNA", at positions 8 to 518 of the family's 1533-position model. The record is from RNAcentral.